GACGAACGCUGGCGGCGUGCUUAACACAUGCGAGUCGAACGGAAAGGCCCUGCUUUUGUGGGGUGCUCGAGUGGCGAACGGGUGAGUAACACGUGAGUAACCUGCCCUUGACUUUGGGAUAACUUCAGGAAACUGGGGCUAAUACCGGAUAGGAGCUCCUGCUGCAUGGUGGGGGUUGGAAAGUUUCGGCGGUUGGGGAUGGACUCGCGGCUUAUCAGCUUGUUGGUGGGGUAGUGGCUUACCAAGGCUUUGACGGGUAGCCGGCCUGAGAGGGUGACCGGCCACAUUGGGACUGAGAUACGGCCCAGACUCCUACGGGAGGCAGCAGUGGGGAAUAUUGCACAAUGGGCGGAAGCCUGAUGCAGCAACGCCGUGUGCGGGAUGACGGCCUUCGGGUUGUAAACCGCUUUCGCCUGUGACGAAGCGUGAGUGACGGUAAUGGGUAAAGAAGCACCGGCUAACUACGUG
RNAcentral lists this ribosomal RNA (468 nucleotides) under uncultured bacterium. RNAcentral's name for it is "partial 16S ribosomal RNA". It matches the Rfam family "Bacterial small subunit ribosomal RNA", at positions 28 to 507 of the family's 1533-position model. The record is from RNAcentral.